GAUGAACGCUGGCGGCGUGCCUAAUACAUGCAAGUCGAGCGAACAGACGAGGAGCUUGCUCCUCUGACGUUAGCAGCGGACGGGUGAGUAACACGUGGAUAACCUACCUAUAAGACUGGGAUAACUUCGGGAAACCGUAGCUAAUACCGGAUAAUAUUUUGAACCGCAUGGUUCAAUAGUGAAAGACGGUUUUGCUGUCACUUAUAGAUGGAUCCGCGCCGCAUUAGCUAGUUGGUAAGGUAACGGCUUACCAAGGCAACGAUGCGUAGCCGACCUGAGAGGGUGAUCGGCCACACUGGAACUGAGACACGGUCCAGACUCCUACGGGAGGCAGCAGUAGGGAAUCUUCCGCAAAGGGCGAAAGCCUGACGGAGCAACGCCGCGUGAGUGAUGAAGGUCUUCGGAUCGUAAAACUCUGUUAUUAGGGAAGAACAAAUGUGUAAGUAACUAUGCACGUCUUGACGGUACCUAAUCAGAAAGCCACGGCUAACUACGUG
This 497-nucleotide ribosomal RNA is filed under the name uncultured bacterium. Its description in RNAcentral is "partial 16S ribosomal RNA". It matches the Rfam family "Bacterial small subunit ribosomal RNA", at positions 28 to 507 of the family's 1533-position model. The record is from RNAcentral.